AAUUUUUUCCCUUUUUAUAAUAGAUAAGAUCUUAAAAUUCAUAGAAUUUGGCAGUAGUUUAAUCUAAUCAGAGGAACUUGUUUAUAAUCGAUACACCUCGUUAAUAUUUCACUUAUUUUAAAAGUUUGUAUAUUAUCAUUAAAAGAUUAUUUAAAAAAAAAUUAUUGAAAUUAAAAAAAUUAAUAAAAUUAGAUCAAAAUGCAACUCAUAAAUAAGAAAAAAUGAGUUACAAUAAAUUUUAUUUAUGUUGGAUUAAAAUAUGAAAUUAUUUUAUAAAAUAGGAUUUGAUUGUAUUUAUAAUAGAUUAAUAAACUAUAAAGAAAUUAGACCUAAAUUAUGUACAC
This 344-nucleotide ribosomal RNA is filed under the name Hymenosoma hodgkini. Its description in RNAcentral is "partial 12S ribosomal RNA". Lineage: Eukaryota; Metazoa; Arthropoda; Malacostraca; Decapoda; Hymenosomatidae. The record is from RNAcentral.